UUUAGGGGCAACACAAGCUGAGCUUCAGUUGCAAUUUGUUUAGUUCUAAACCUUUUCCAUUCAUAUUUAAUCUUGUUUAAUCAUCUCUUUGCAGUUACAUGGAAGAAAUAAGAGUUCAUGUGCUAUCAAUUUAAUUUAGUGGAUAAGAUUUCAUGUUUAACUGGCUACCGCAAGGUGGGGCUGGUGGUCUAAGUUUUCUGCUUUGUGUGAGAGACUAUACUAAGCAAAGCAACUGCUGAUGUUGACAAAGCGGUCCAUGAUGAGACUGGUUUCUUUUAGGUGGUUCUGUUUUUUGAAAAUAUGGGCUUGGAUAAAGAAACUAUUGGGAGAAUUAUUUUUCGCUGCCAGCAUUGAUAAAACUCUUUAGAGGAAGAUUGAAUUCCUUUCUAGGGUUGGCGUUUUUUAAGCUUAUUUUCCUGGGAUAAUUAGAAAAUAUCCGGAAUUACUUGUAACCAACA
Arachis ipaensis is the source of this 458-nucleotide non-coding RNA. NCBI's taxonomy places the organism in Eukaryota, Viridiplantae, Streptophyta, Magnoliopsida, Fabales, Fabaceae. The record is from RefSeq and is a predicted model, not a curated record.